UACGAAGGGGGGCUAGCGUUGCUCGGAAUCACUGGGCGUAAAGGGUGCGUAGGCGGGUCUUUAAGUCAGGGGUGAAAUCCUGGAGCUCAACUCCAGAACUGCCUUUGAUACUGAGGAUCUUGAGUUCGGGAGAGGUGAGUGGAACUGCGAGUGUAGAGGUGAAAUUCGUAGAUAUUCGCAAGAACACCAGUGGCGAAGGCGGCUCACUGGCCCGAUACUGACGCUGAGGCACGAAAGCGUGGGAGCAAACAGG
This 253-nucleotide ribosomal RNA is filed under the name uncultured bacterium. Its description in RNAcentral is "partial 16S ribosomal RNA". It matches the Rfam family "Bacterial small subunit ribosomal RNA", at positions 524 to 776 of the family's 1533-position model. The record is from RNAcentral.